GACGAACGCUGGCGGCGUGCUUAACACAUGCAAGUCGAACGAAGUGGCGAACGGGUGAGUAACGCGUAAUCAACCUGCCAUUCAGAGGGGAACAACAGUUGGAAACGCCUGCUAAUACCGCAUACUGAGGGAGGGGAUUGCGUCUGAUUCGCUAGUUGGAGGGGAAACGGCCCCCCAAGGCAAGGAGCAGUAGCCGUUCUGGUAGGAUGAAGGGCCAACGUGGGAAGUGGACACGGCCCAGACUCCUACGGGCGGCAGCAGUUGGGAAUCUUCCGCAAUGGACGAAAGUCUGACGGAGCAACGCCGCGUGGGUGAUGACGGCUUUCGGGUUGUAAAGCUCUGUUAAGCGGGACGCGGUACCGGAAUAGAAAGCCACGGCUAACUACGUGCCAGCAGCCGCGGUAAUUC
RNAcentral lists this ribosomal RNA (408 nucleotides) under uncultured bacterium. Its description in RNAcentral is "partial 16S ribosomal RNA". It matches the Rfam family "Bacterial small subunit ribosomal RNA", at positions 28 to 526 of the family's 1533-position model. The record is from RNAcentral.